UGAAGAGUUACUGGCUGCUAGGCCACUGAGAAAAAGCUUUGCAUCACAAAACGUGUGCAGCAAUCAGAGAAAAAGGUUUAUAGAGUCACAAUGACUAUAUACAUAAUAUGCACACUACACUUAAAAGAUAAUGUAAUGAUAGCAAAUGUUGCAGGCAGGAAAUAAAUAGUGUCAUCUUAAAAAAUCAAAGCUCAGGACUGAGAAAGGCUUUCACUUUAGGGGUGGCUGCAAGUCAGGUGGUAGCGCAGGUCACCUGCGACUGGGCAGGUUGGUGAUUCAAUCCCGCCACUUUGCAUACCAAAUAUCCUUGGGCAAGAUACUAACCCCAAGUUGCUAUGGAUGUGUGUGAAUGUUACAAACAACAGACUCAAAAAAAAAAAAAAAACCAACAAAAUACAAAAGGUAAAAAGUCCUUACUUUAUUGCACAGACUAGAUAAAACCAUGUUCUCAUGCAGUAAUGAGGUCGUGCAGCCAUUGUUAAUCAUACAGCAGUAAGGCUGUGUCUGCCAUGUUUGCCCUGGUUUGGGUCCCAGGGGUCAGAGUUUCUUUAGAGGUUUUUAAUGUGUUGGAUAUUCUGAGGUUGCUGCUGUGCUGAGGUUUUGAUUCAGCUAUGUGGUGCUUCAGGUCUUGCUGUAUUCUUGUAUCUUGGACUUGAGUCCUUGCUUUUUCUACUUGGUUUCAGUUCCUAGUUUGAGUGUAUUUAUGUUUAGUGUUUUCAGGGUUUUGUUUUCUGUUCCUCCCUCCACCUCAUCUUUCUCAGUUUCCCUUUGUAUUACAUUUUUGCUUCAGCGUUCCACUAUGAAAGUGAACUACUUUCAUAGUGAACCACUUUCAUAGUACAGAAAACUCAAGGCUAACCUUGACGUUACCCAGAUAAACCUAAA
Molecule: long non-coding RNA, 885 nt
Organism: Oreochromis niloticus (Nile tilapia)
Lineage: Eukaryota; Metazoa; Chordata; Actinopteri; Cichliformes; Cichlidae
Exons: 2
Source: RefSeq, a predicted model, not a curated record